RNAcentral lists this ribosomal RNA (711 nucleotides) under uncultured bacterium. Its description in RNAcentral is "bacterial SSU rRNA". It matches the Rfam family "Bacterial small subunit ribosomal RNA", at positions 60 to 772 of the family's 1533-position model. The record is from RNAcentral.
AGUCGAACGAACACUUUUACAGAUUUCUUCGGAAUGAAGUUUUAGUGACUGAGUGGCGGACGGGUGAGUAACGCGUGGGUAACCUGCCUCACACAGGGGGAUAGCAGUUGGAAACGACUGGUAAUACCGCAUAAGCGCACAGCUUCGCAUGAAGCGGUGUGAAAAACUCCGGUGGUGUGAGGUGGACCCGCGUCUGAUUAGGUAGUUGGUGAGGUAACGGCCCACCAAGCCGACGAUCAGUAGCCGACCUGAGAGGGUGACCGGCCACAUUGGGACUGAGACACGGCCCAGACUCCUACGGGAGGCAGCAGUGGGGAAUAUUGCACAAUGGAGGAAACUCUGAUGCAGCGACGCCGCGUGAGUGAAGAAGUAUUUCGGUAUGUAAAGCUCUAUCAGCAGGGAAGACAGUGACGGUACCUGACUAAGAAGCUCCGGCUAAAUACGUGCCAGCAGCCGCGGUAAUACGUAUGGAGCAAGCGUUAUCCGGAUUUACUGGGUGUAAAGGGAGUGUAGGUGGUAUCACAAGUCAGAAGUGAAAGCCCGGGGCUCAACCCCGGGACUGCUUUUGAAACUGUGGAACUGGAGUGCAGGAGAGGUAAGUGGAAUUCCUAGUGUAGCGGUGAAAUGCGUAGAUAUUAGGAGGAACACCAGUGGCGAAGGCGGCUUACUGGACUGUAACUGACACUGAGGCUCGAAAGCGUGGGGAGCAAA